ACAGUGGUUCAGUGGUAGAAUUCUCACCUUCCAUGUGGGAGACCUGGGUUUGACUCCUGGCCAAUGUG
RNAcentral lists this transfer RNA (68 nucleotides) under Loxodonta africana (African savanna elephant). It matches the Rfam family "tRNA". Rfam says of the family: Transfer RNA (tRNA) molecules are approximately 80 nucleotides in length. Their secondary structure includes four short double-helical elements and three loops (D, anti-codon, and T loops). Lineage: Eukaryota; Metazoa; Chordata; Mammalia; Proboscidea; Elephantidae. The record is from Rfam by way of RNAcentral.